AGAGUUUGAUCCUGGCUCAGGAUGAACGCUGGCGGCGUGCUUAACACAUGCAAGUCGAACGGGGGCGUGAUGUGCGAGAGGGAUAGUUUACUAGACUUCAAACUUUUCACGCCCUAGUGGCGGACGGGUGAGUAACGCGUGGGUAACCUGCCAUAUACAGGGGGAUAACACUUAGAAAUAGGUGCUAAUACCGCAUAAGCGCACAGGGGCGCAUGCCCCGGUGUGAAAAACUCCGGUGGUAUAUGAUGGACCCGCGUCUGAUUAGCCAGUUGGCAGGGUAACGGCCUACCAAAGCGACGAUCAGUAGCCGGCCUGAGAGGGCGGACGGCCACAUUGGGACUGAGACACGGCCCAAACUCCUACGGGAGGCAGCAGUGGGGGAUAUUGGACAAUGGGGGAAACCCUGAUGCAGCGACGCCGCGUGAGUGAAGAAGUAUUUCGGUAUGUAAAGCUCUAUCAGCAGGGAAGAAAAUGACAGUACCUGACCAAGAAGCCCCGGCUAACUACGUGCCAGCAGCCGCGGUAAUACGUAGGGGGCAAGCGUUAUCCGGAUUUACUGGGUGUAAAGGGAGCGUAGACGGUUAUGUAAGUCUGGAGUGAAAGCCCGGGGCCCAACCCCGGGACUGCUUUGGAAACUGUGUAACUGGAGUACAGGAGGGGCAGGCGGAAUUCCUGGUGUAGCGGUGAAAUGCGUAGAUAUUAGGAGGAACACCAGUGGCGAAGGCGGCUUGCUGGGCUUUUACUGACGCUGAGGCUCGAAAGCGUGGGGAGCAAACAGGAUUAGAUACCCUGGUAGUCCACGCCGUAAACGAUGAUCACUAGGUGUGGGGAGCGAACCUUUCCGUGCCGGAGUAAACACAAUAAGUGAUCCACCUGGGGAGUACGGCCGCAAGGCUGAAACUCAAAGGAAUUGACGGGGGCCCGCACAAGCAGUGGAGUAUGUGGUUUAAUUCGAAGCAACGCGAAGAACCUUACCGGGUCUUGACAUCGAGUGAAAGAUCAAGAGAUUGAUCCCUCUCUUCGGAGACACGAAGACAGGUGGUGCAUGGUUGUCGUCAGCUUGUGUCGUGAGAUGUUGGGUUAAGUCCCGCAACGAGCGCAACCCUUAUCAUUAGUUGCUACGCAAGAGCACUCUAAUGAGACUGCCGUUGACAAAACGGAGGAAGGUGGGGAUGACGUCAAAUCAUCAUGCCCUUUAUGACCCGGGCUACACACGUACUACAAUGGUGUUUAACAAAGAGAAGCGAAGCCGCGAGGCGGAGCAAAUCUCGAAAAAACAUCUCAGUUCAGAUUGCAGGCUGCAACUCGCCUGCAUGAAGUCGGAAUUGCUAGUAAUCGUAGGUCAGCAUACUACGGUGAAUACGUUCCCGGGCCUUGCACACACCGCCCGUCA
RNAcentral lists this ribosomal RNA (1393 nucleotides) under uncultured bacterium. Its description in RNAcentral is "bacterial SSU rRNA". It matches the Rfam family "Bacterial small subunit ribosomal RNA". The record is from RNAcentral.